RNAcentral lists this unclassified non-coding RNA (252 nucleotides) under Hevea brasiliensis (rubber tree). The record is from RNAcentral. Lineage: Eukaryota; Viridiplantae; Streptophyta; Magnoliopsida; Malpighiales; Euphorbiaceae.
GAAGAAUCCCAUGAAUAUGAGAAACUCGUGAGAUUGAUAACCAAAAUAUUAGGAGUGGUUUAUGAUAUAUUGAUAGCAAUCCAUAUAUAUUAUGUAUCUUACAUUACAAAUAUGCAACUCUAUGUAUUAUGUAAGACACAACACAAGUGAAUCAAAUGCAACUCUUUGAGGUAUUUUGCCUGUGGAUGUAGGCUCUCACUAGCCAAACCACGUAAAUCCUUCUUGUUAUAGAAGUCUGCCCUUGUAGAAAGU